AUUUAAAAAAGUUGUGCCACGUCAACAGCCACGUCAGCAGCCCCGGCCAACCAGGACACACCGCGUGGCAAGGAAACGCUGACAUGGGAUGGGCCACGUGGGCAAUCCGCGUGCGCGCGAUAGGACGGCCCAGAUCCAUUCCCACGCGCACGAACAGCCCAGAUCAAACGUGCGCACAGACGGCCCAGAUUCACGGGUACGGACGGUCCAGAUUCAAUCAGGCACGGAUGGCCCAGAUUGCAUCGCGAUGGACGACCCAAAUUUAAUCCCGAUUAAAUCGCGAUCGGACGGUCCAUAUUUAAUCUUGAUGGACGGUUGAGAUUAAAAGGCAAAGG
RNAcentral lists this long non-coding RNA (335 nucleotides) under Carica papaya (papaya). Its description in RNAcentral is "long non-coding RNA (CPAP_LNC014124)". The record is from RNAcentral. Lineage: Eukaryota; Viridiplantae; Streptophyta; Magnoliopsida; Brassicales; Caricaceae.